This is a long non-coding RNA of Magnolia sinica, 361 nucleotides long. RefSeq lists it as uncharacterized. The transcript is spliced from 3 exons. NCBI's taxonomy places the organism in Eukaryota, Viridiplantae, Streptophyta, Magnoliopsida, Magnoliales, Magnoliaceae. The record is from RefSeq and is a predicted model, not a curated record.
CAGAGAGAGUGCAAGCUCCUCAGAGCAGCAUUUCAACGGCCGCAUUGCUUCGGACAUUGUUUUACAUACUAGUGUGGUACACUUUCAGCACAUGUUUGACACUGUAUAAUAAAACACUCUUAGGCGAUAAAUUGGGGAAGUUCCCAGCUCCCUUCUUGAUGAAUACUAUUCAUUUUGGCAUGCAAACCAUUUUAUCCAAGGCCAUCGUGCGAUUCUGGUCUCAAAAGUUGCAACCUAGUGUAAAAAUGUCAUGGAGGGAUUACUUUCUCAAAGUUGUACCAACGGCUAUUGGAACAGUGCUGGAUAUAAACCUGAGUAAUGUCUCCCUUGUUUUCAUCUCUGUCACAUUUGCCACUAUGGU